Molecule: transfer RNA, 86 nt
Filed under: Candidatus Bathyarchaeota archaeon
Lineage: Archaea; Thermoproteati; Candidatus Bathyarchaeota
Description: tRNA-Ser
Rfam family: tRNA
About the family: Transfer RNA (tRNA) molecules are approximately 80 nucleotides in length.
Source: RNAcentral
GCCGGGGUGGCCGAGCGGUAAGGCGCCGGACUCGAGAUCCGGUGGGCCUCGUGCCCUCGUGGGUUCGAAUCCCACCCCCGGCGCCA